CAGGUGUGCGCCACCACGCCUGGCUGAAGCAAGUGGCUCUGACGCAGGCUGGGCCAUGUUUAGACAGUGACAAGACAGGGGGAGAACAACUGGGGAUCUCAAGAGCAACGGAGCCAAACUACAGGCAGGCGACCAAGGCUGGUCGGUGGGCUUGCAGGAGAUUCCUUUGGAGCUGACAAGGGAGAGGCCUGAAGUCUUCCCUCCAGGACCGCUUUUGUCCUUCCAGGAGAGGAGGAAGAUGGCGCCUUCGAAUUCCGACCGCUCCACCUGCUGGCCACGCCCUCCUCUCCUCCUGAGGCCGGAGCCCAGACGCAAUGUAGAAAUAAGAGAAUCGCCAGAGCCUUGGAAAAAUAAGCUGUGGCAAGAGCUCAGAGACGCGAAUUCCGGCUGGGCUUGUCUCUGGGCGGCCUCCUUCCGCGGGGAGAGUCUGCGCCAAGUAAGUCUCGAUCUCAGCAGUGGGAGAGGAAUUCAGACACCCCGGGCUCUGUCGGCGGCGCUGCUGCCAGGGACCUCCUGGUGGAGCUGUGGAGUCUGAGGCUCCGGCCACUGUCCCCAGGUCUGUCCCCGGUCCCCACCUCAAGUCCUCUCCACGUCGCUCCUCCAGGGUCCUGCUGCGAGGAAGGCAGCCCCGCUGCUGCCAUGGUCCGGAGUGGACCCGUGCCCUCCUUGAGGAAGCCUCCCUCCCACUGCCGCUGUUCCCAGCACCCCACGACCCACUGGUCUUCCUGCCCCAGUCGCCGCGCUUCUUCCCCAAAGAUGCUACACACUGGGGUCCCCCCACUCGUGCCUCUUGAUGUCCACUCCAGGCCCCGAUGCACCCACUGCCCCUCAGUCCGGGAGGACACAGGACGUCCUGGCCCCAUCACGGGUUCUGGGGCCCCCAGGGUCUGAGCCCCGGGUCUUCGCUCUUAGAGCUGGGUGAACAGGGUGCUUCCCACUGCAAAGGGAGCAUCAGAGUCAUGUCUGGAUCACAGAACUGCCAGGCACGUCGGGGCAAGCUGUAAUCCUAGCUACUCAGGAGGCAGAGGCAGGAGGAUCUCAAGUUGGGCAAUUUAGCAACUUAUUGAGACCUUUCAAAAAAAUUUAAAAAUUUUAACAAAAGAGCUGGGGAUGUAGCGCAGUGGUUGAGUGCCCCUGAGUUCAAUACCCAGCACCUAAAAAAAUGUCAGUUCUCGGGUGCCUCCCACGGUGCCUGGCAAAAGGCAAGCUCGGCCCAGCUUUUCCUUAGAGAGUGCUGCGGGUCAACACCUUCUCCACCCAUGGAGCAGGGAGCCUGCAGGGAACAGCAGCAGGCCAUGGGCACUGCACUGGGACGCGCUCAGCCCUUGUGGGCCUUGCCCAGGGACCGCUUGGCUUGAGCCUCUGGAAGCUUCCAGGCAUGCGCAGAAGACAGAACCCAGAUGAAAGAGAGGCUGAGCGAUCUCACUACAUCAAAAUGGAAAAACGCUGGAAAUUGCCAGAAAAAGAAAUGGUUUCCAGGAUGGUUGUCCAGGCUGCCAACCCAGCAACCACAAGGAGGUUUACCUUAAACCACAUUCCAGGUUCAAGAAAGCAGGAAACCUGAGAUUCAGAGAAAGACUUCAAGGCCUGUUUGCUUUCCCGGGAUGUUUUCCUCCGAUCCUGAGCCUCCUGAGUCCCUUGGACACGGCAGGCCAGGCCACACCUCCCAGCUCUACUUCCUCCUGUCCUUAAGGUGCAUUUGUCACUGUCCACCUGUCCAGGCGGCCACCCUCCCAUCCACUCUACCCUCACUGGGCCUCCCUCACUCUGCCCUGCGUUUCCACUGCACCCCGACUUCUAACGGAGAUAUAAUUUGACACUUCUUGAUUUAUUCCUAUGUGAGCUAUAUCAUUGUUGUUAUUAUUAUUACAUUUAUUGUCUUGAUCGUAGGCUCUGUGAUGACACUGUUUUUGCUGUUGUUGUUUUUGGUUUUAUGAGACAGGGUUUCACUAUGUAGGCCAAGCUAGCCUUGAACUCACAGUCCUCCUGCCUCAGCCUCCUAAGAUUAUAGGCACGUGUUACCUCACCUCAUCCUGGCAUUAGUUUGUUUUUGUUUUUGUUUUUUGAGGUAGAAUUCCACUAUGUAGUUCAUGUUGGCCUUGAUCUCACUAGAAGCCCAGGCUGGGUUUGAGCUCAUGGCAAUCCUCCUGCCUCAGUCUCCUGAGGGCUGGGAUUAUAGGUGUGUGCCACCAUGCUUGGUCUAGCCUGUUUUUUGACUGUUUUAUCCACAGACCCUAAAACAAAGUGACUGUCACACUGUCACAAAGUAGGAACUCAAAUGUGUGAAUGAGUGAGUGAACAUGUAAGCUACCCUAAUGGUUACUCACUAAACAUACUAGACUUAUGAGGGAAGUAUCAGCCCAUGGACAAAUGCAGUGGUGAUGAAUUUCAUUUGUGGACAUGCAGCCGACAUGCAGGGGCUGCAUGACCAACCAUGACAGGCAUCCGGGCACAGCGCACACGUAGAUACACUGAGUGACAGAGCGCACACAACCUGAGAUGCUAACAUGGAGGCUCAGGCUUCGAACCUGAAGAACCCACUUCACAUCCCAGGGCAGUGGGCGUGGUGGCAUAUGUCUGUCAUCUCAGUACUGGGGAGGCUGAGGCAGGAGGAUCCUGGGGAGGUGUGUGGGGAAUCUGUUCAGUCCACCCUGGACUUCCUAGGAGAGUUCUGACCUCCAGGACUCUGUGUCACCAUUGGGUCCUAAGUCCCAGUUGGGCGAGGGGAAUAGAGGAGUCACACUCGAGGACGAAGUCUGUGUUUUGGAGAUGGAGCCCAUUUCUCGCUAUUUAAGAACCUGUGCUAGGUUCACGAAUUACACUUUUGGUUUUCGAAUCAGGCAGAAUUGCUUUGAAGGACAUAGAAGGCAAGAACUCAUGGAAACGGAAAGGAGAGAAAUGCUGGCAGAGGAGCUGCUCCAGUGACCUCGGGGGCUGGAGGACUUGGGGACCCCCCCAGCAGCAGGUUGGAGCAGGUCUCUGGCCCUUCUAUUCUCUCAUUUUGGCCCAGAUUAGGCAAUAGUUCCUGGCUUUGUUUAAUCUGAAUCCUGUGUGAGUUUUUCGAGACAUGAAGACCUGCUUUGAAUCUUUUUUUUUUUUUUUCUUUUUGAUACCGGGGAUCGAACUCCGGUACUUGCACUUGAGCAGCAGGCGGUGAAACCACUGAGCUAAAUCCCCAGCCCAUGAAGACCUGCUUUGAUGUCCCUGGCCACGGCCAGGCCCAGCGUGGGGCUGAUGAGCUUCCACCUCCGCCAGCUGACUUCGCCCCUUCCAGCUUGGGUUCCAGCCACCGGGUUUCCAGUUAUGCUCUGAAGUCCCUGUAUUUGUGUCCCCUCUCUCUGUUUUAUAGGUAGAAAGAGGUGCUGAAGCAUUUCCCAAGGUGGAGGGCCUUCGGAAGUGUCCCACCGGGAAACUUGGAUUAAAGCCUGGCCUAGGCUGUCACAGACCUCAGCCUUCCGGAGGCCACAGCUUGCCCCAGGCUCUGUUUCUCUGGCUGUAAAGUGAAGGAGUUGGUAUGGUUGGGCACUCUGAGGUCUGUGGGUUGCAAGGGACAAUGAACCACCUCAGCACAGCUUGAGCAACAUGGGGGGUCUAUUAGCUUUUCGUAGCCAAUUGUAUCAGUUGGCUUUCCCGUUGGUGGACACAAUUCAGAGGGGAGAGUUAAGACAGGGUGUCAAUAUGAAGGUCAGGCUGGUCUUAAUCUCGCUGUGUAGCGCAGGCUGCCACUGAAUUCCAGGCGAUCCUGCCUCAGCCGCCCAAGUGCUGGGAUCAUAGGCGUGUGCCACCCCACCAGUUUGAUUUUUUUUAUUGGUACAUGUUGGAUAUACAUAGGAUAAUGUUCACCACAGGGAAUUUGUACUGGUACAUGAUGUAUCUUGCUUCUUUGUCUCCCAUUCCCCUCCCCUCCCUGCAACCCCUCUUCCCCUCGUGUACAAAAGCUUUGUUUCCUUUUUCCCUUCUGUUCUCUUUUUCUCUUGUCCCUUCCUUCCUUUCUCCCUUCCCUCC
Heterocephalus glaber (naked mole-rat) is the source of this 4005-nucleotide long non-coding RNA. RefSeq lists it as uncharacterized. The record is from RefSeq and is a predicted model, not a curated record. Lineage: Eukaryota; Metazoa; Chordata; Mammalia; Rodentia; Bathyergidae.